Molecule: small nuclear RNA, 107 nt
Organism: Hyaena hyaena (striped hyena)
Lineage: Eukaryota; Metazoa; Chordata; Mammalia; Carnivora; Hyaenidae
Source: RefSeq, a predicted model, not a curated record
GUGCUUGCUUCGGCAGCAUGUAGACUAAAAUUAGCACCAUACAGAGAAGAUUAGUGUGGACCCUGCGCAAGGAUGAUGUAUAAAUUUGUGAAGCACUACAAUGGAUU